Molecule: ribosomal RNA, 984 nt
Filed under: Triticum aestivum (bread wheat)
Lineage: Eukaryota; Viridiplantae; Streptophyta; Magnoliopsida; Poales; Poaceae
Description: partial small subunit ribosomal RNA
Source: RNAcentral
AUGGGACACCCUGGUGGCUCUACCACUCGGGCAGUGUGGAAUACUCUCUGGAAACUUCAGAUUCCACGUAAAGUACAGAUUUUUUGUUGGCGAGCACUGCGAGGAGUUAUCCCACUAAAAGCUAUACUUACUAACAGGCACAUUGGUUCCAAUGGUGCUUGUCCUAUCUGUCAUCAAGGGGCCGAGGAUAUCCGUCACUUAAUGUUUUUAUGCUCAAAUGCACGACACUUGUGGACGAAGCUGGACAUCACAAAUAUCAUCGACCAAGCGAUCCAGGUUGAUAGAUCGGGGUCUGCGAUCUUGGAAUUUAUCUUAUCAUUGCCGGACCAGCAGCUUGAGAUGCACCCAAUAAUUAACUUCAAACAAGUAAUAGCCGUUGGGGGCUGGUACCUUUGGUGGAUCCGUAAAAAAGUGACGCACAAUGAAUCAAUUCCUCCCCCUUGGAGGUGGGCACUCUCUGUGUUAUCAAUCUCAAGCAACCAUCAGAGGGCUACAUCGCUGGUGAGAAUUUCCCCUGAAGCAAAGUGGUGUAAGCCGGACCCUCGGUUCAUUAAGUUAAAUGUUGAUGCGGCGUACUACUCGGACGAAGGGGUAGGUGCUACGGCGGCUAUCCUGCGUGAUGACAAAGGUAAUUUCUUGGGAGCCCAAUGCAAGUUUAUACCUGUUGCGGUGGAUGCAAUAACAACAGAAGCGUUAGCCAUGCGAGACGGACUGAUUUUUGCUAACUCCUUUGGGUGUAACCAGGUAGAAGCUGAAUCAAAUUCUUUGCAAGUACUCAAUUAUUGUGAUGGACAAACCAUAUGGUGGGACUCGGCGGCGGCAAUAUUCGCAGAAUGUUUGGACACUAGUACUUCAAUAGGGAAGGUCGUUUAUAAGCAUUGUUAUAGAUCUUGUAAUCAAGUGGCUCAUAUGCUAGCUCAUUUUAGUUACUGUAAUAAGACUUCAUUUAGUUGGUUGGACGAGCCCCUUGACAAUAGCUCGUAG